Molecule: ribosomal RNA, 486 nt
Filed under: uncultured Bacteroidota bacterium
Lineage: Bacteria; Pseudomonadati; Bacteroidota
Description: bacterial SSU rRNA
Rfam family: Bacterial small subunit ribosomal RNA
Source: RNAcentral
AUUUAUCGGUAUGAGAUGGCGAUGCGUCCCAUUAGCUUGUUGGCGGGGUAACGGCCCACCAAGGCAUCGAUGGGUAGGGGUUCUGAGAGGAAGGUCCCCCACAUUGGAACUGAGACACGGUCCAAACUCCUACGGGAGGCAGCAGUGAGGAAUAUUUGGUCAAUGGACGCAAGUCUGAACCAGCCAAGUAGCGUGCAGGAAGACGGCCCUCUGGGUUGUAAACUGCUUUUAGUUGGGAAUAAAGUGCACCACGUGUGGUGUUUUGUAUGUACCAUCAGAAAAAGGACCGGCUAAUUCCGUGCCAGCAGCCGCGGUAAUACGGAAGGUCCAGGCGUUAUCCGGAUUUAUUGGGUUUAAAGGGAGCGCAGGCGGACCUUUAAGUCAGCUGUGAAAUACGGCGGCUCAACCGUCGAACUGCAGUUGAUACUGGAGGUCUUGAGUGCACACAGGGAUACUGGAAUUCAUGGUGUAGCGGUGAAAUGCUCA